This 121-nucleotide ribosomal RNA is filed under the name Rosa chinensis. The record is from RNAcentral. Lineage: Eukaryota; Viridiplantae; Streptophyta; Magnoliopsida; Rosales; Rosaceae.
UUGGGCGAUCAUACCAGCAAUAACGCACCGGAUCCCAUCAGAACUCCGAAGUUAAGCUUGCUUGGGCGAAAGCAGUACUAGGAUGGGUGACCUCUUGGGAAGUCCUCGUGUUGCACCCCAC